Molecule: ribosomal RNA, 393 nt
Filed under: uncultured bacterium
Lineage: Bacteria
Description: bacterial SSU rRNA
Rfam family: Bacterial small subunit ribosomal RNA
Source: RNAcentral
GACGAACGCUAGCGGCAGGCCUAAUACAUGCAAGUCGAACGGUAAGGUCUCUUCGGAGACUACGAGUGGCGCACGGGUGCGUAACACGUAGGUAAUCAACCCUCGGGUUCGGGAUAACACUUCGAAAGGGGUGCUAAUACCGGAUGCGACGAGCGUCUCCUCGGAGAUGCACGGGAAAGAUCCGCAAGGGUCGCCCGAGGACGAGCCUGCGGCCCAUCAGCUUGUUGGUGAGGUAAUGGCUCACCAAGGCUAAGACGGGUAGCUGGUCUGAGAGGAUGAUCAGUCACACUGGAACUGAGACACGGUCCAGACUCCUACGGGAGGCAGCAGUGGGGAAUAUUGCGCAAUGGGCGAAAGCCUGACGCAGCCACGCCGCGUGAGCGAUGAAGGCCU